GCGGUGAGCAUGUGGUUUAAUUCGAAGCAACGCGAAGAACUUACCAGGUCUUGACAUCCCCUGACAACCCGAGAGAUCGGGCGUUCCCCUUGGGGGACAGGGUGACAGGUGGUGCAUGGUUGUCGUCAGCUCGUGUCGUGAGAUGUUGGGUUAAGUCCCGCAACGAGCGCAACCCUCGACCUUAGUUGCCAGCGAGUCAAGUCGGGCACUCUAAGGUGACUGCCGGCUAGAAGUCGGAGGAAGUGGGGAUGACGUCAAAUCAUCAUGCCCCUUAUGACCUGGGCUACACACGUGCUACAAUGGGCGGUACAAAGGGCUGCGAACCCGCGAGGGGGAGCGAAUCCCAAAAAGCCGCUCUCAGUUCGGAUUGCAGGCUGCAACUCGCCUGCAUGAAGCCGGAAUCGCUAGUAAUCGCGGAUCAGCAUGCCGCCGGUGAAUACGUUCCCGGGCCUU
RNAcentral lists this ribosomal RNA (453 nucleotides) under uncultured Geobacillus sp. Its description in RNAcentral is "bacterial SSU rRNA". It matches the Rfam family "Bacterial small subunit ribosomal RNA", at positions 929 to 1382 of the family's 1533-position model. The record is from RNAcentral. Lineage: Bacteria; Bacillati; Bacillota; Bacilli; Caryophanales; Anoxybacillaceae.